GGGACCUGCGGAAGGAUCAUUACCGAGUGAGGGCCCUCUGGGUCCAACCUCCCACCCGUGUUUAUUUUACCUUGUUGCUUCGGCGGGCCCGCCUUAACUGGCCGCCGGGGGGCUUACGCCCCCGGGCCCGCGCCCGCCGAAGACACCCUCGAACUCUGUCUGAAGAUUGUAGUCUGAGUGAAAAUAUAAAUUAUUUAAAACUUUCAACAACGGAUCUCUUGGUUCCGGCAUCGAUGAAGAACGCAGCGAAAUGCGAUACGUAAUGUGAAUUGCAAAUUCAGUGAAUCAUCGAGUCUUUGAACGCACAUUGCGCCCCCUGGUAUUCCGGGGGGCAUGCCUGUCCGAGCGUCAUUGCUGCCCUCAAGCACGGCUUGUGUGUUGGGCCCCGUCCUCCGAUCCCGGGGGACGGGCCCGAAAGGCAGCGGCGGCACCGCGUCCGGUCCUCGAGCGUAUGGGGCUUUGUCACCCGCUCUGUAGGCCCGGCCGGCGCUUGCCGAUCAACCCAAAUUUUUAUCCAGGUUGACCUCGGAUCAGGUAGGGAUCACCCGCUGAACUUAAGCAUAUCAUUAAAGCGGAGGAA
Molecule: ribosomal RNA, 580 nt
Filed under: Penicillium chrysogenum
Lineage: Eukaryota; Fungi; Ascomycota; Eurotiomycetes; Eurotiales; Aspergillaceae
Description: eukaryotic LSU rRNA
Rfam family: 5.8S ribosomal RNA (bases 199-351)
Source: RNAcentral